AUAUCAAUAAGCGGAGGAAAAGAAACCAACAGGGAUUGCCUUAGUAACGGCGAGUGAAGCGGCAACAGCUCAAAUUUGAAAUCGGGCCACCGCCCGAGUUGUAAUUUGUAGAGGAAGCUUCUGGGCAGCGGCCGGUCUAAGUUCCUUGGAACAGGACGUCACAGAGGGUGAGAAUCCCGUAUGUGACCGGCGCGCACCCUCCACGUAGCUCCUUCGACGAGUCGAGUUGUUUGGGAAUGCAGCUCUAAACGGGAGGUAAAUUUCUUCUAAAGCUAAAUACCGGCCAGAGACCGAUAGCGCACAAGUAGAGUGAUCGAAAGAUGAAAAGCACUUUGGAAAGAGAGUUAAACAGCAC
This 355-nucleotide ribosomal RNA is filed under the name uncultured fungus. RNAcentral describes it as "eukaryotic LSU rRNA". It matches the Rfam family "Eukaryotic large subunit ribosomal RNA", at positions 40 to 398 of the family's 3401-position model. The record is from RNAcentral. Lineage: Eukaryota; Fungi.